This 484-nucleotide ribosomal RNA is filed under the name uncultured bacterium. Its description in RNAcentral is "partial 16S ribosomal RNA". It matches the Rfam family "Bacterial small subunit ribosomal RNA", at positions 29 to 507 of the family's 1533-position model. The record is from RNAcentral.
AUUGAACGCUGGCGGCAUGCUUUACACAUGCAAGUCGAACGGCAGCGCGGGCUUCGGCCUGGCGGCGAGUGGAGAACGGGUGAGUAAUGCAUCGGAACGUGCCCAGUAGUGGGGGAUAGCCCGGCGAAAGCCGGAUUAAUACCGCAUACGACCUGAGGGUGAAAGCGGGGGACCGAAAGGACCCGCGCCAUUGGCGCGGCCCAUGUCGGAUUACAUAGUUGGUGGAGUAAAGGCUUACCAAGGCGACGAUCCGUAGCUGGUCUGAGAGGACGACCAGCCACACUGGGACUGAGACACGGCCCAGCCUCCUACGGUAGGCAGCAUUGGGGAAUUUUGGACAAUGGGGGCAACCCUGAUCCAGCCAUGCCGCGUGCGGGAAGAAGGCCUUCGGGUUGUAAACCGCUUUUGUUCGGGAAGAAAUCCUCUGGGCUAAUACCCCGGGGGGAUGACGGUACCGGAAGAAUAAGCACCGGCUAACUACGUG